Seriola aureovittata is the source of this 4019-nucleotide long non-coding RNA. RefSeq lists it as uncharacterized. The transcript is spliced from 3 exons. The record is from RefSeq and is a predicted model, not a curated record. Lineage: Eukaryota; Metazoa; Chordata; Actinopteri; Carangiformes; Carangidae.
UUUUUCCUCUCAGACUGAGAGUGAGGCAGACAUGCUAAGCGUGUGCUGGAGCUAAAUGUAGCCAUCCACGGAGAAACAUUGUACAGGCAACGCCUUUUCACCAAAUGUCAUUGAAGACAUCCGAGUAAACAGUCAUCUCUACAACUACGACUCAUGUUUUCAUUGGACACGGUUUAACUUGAUGUUGAAACAGAGUUGCUACACUCUGAGUGAGAACAUUACAGACACGCAGCUACAUAGCUUUUUCAUUAGCUCUUGAUGAAAGCACAGACAAUACGGAUACAGCACAGCUAUCCAUUUUUAUUAGAGGCGUCAAGUCGGACCUUUCUGUCACUGAGGAGCUGUUGGAUGUAGCUGCCAUGCAUGGGACCACAACAGGACGGGACAUUUUUGAUGCGGUGGAGAAGUCCGUAAGUAAAAAUGCAUUGCCCUGGGAAAAGUUGGUGGGAUUAACUACAGACAAUGUGUGGAGGAAAAGCGGGCUUUGUUGGUUUAAUGAAGGAGAAAAUGCAAUAAAGUAACUGUCACACGCCUCUGAUAACGUAUCAUUGCAUUAUUCAUCAAGAAGCUUUGUGUGGGAAGGUGCUAGGGAUGAAAAAUAUAGUGACCACAGUCAUGAAAACAGUGAACUUCAUUCGGGCGCAUGGCCUAAAUCAUCGUCAGUUCCAGCUGUUCUUGCAGGAGAUGGGCUCGGAGCACAGCGACGUGCCGUACCAUACAGAAGUACGGUGGCUGAGUAGGAGCAAAGUCCUCAAACGAUUUUUUGAGCUUAGGGAAGAUAUUGCUCUUUUAAUGCAGUGUAAGGAAAAACCCUUGUCUGAACUGUCAGAUCCAAACUGGCUGUGUGACUUUGCUAUGUUGUGUGACAUAACUGAGCAUCUCGCCCAUCUGAAUCAGAAGCUGCAGGGACGCAAACAAGUCAUCCGACAGUGUCACAGAUGUCCGACAUGAACACGGCUUUCCAGCGUAAACUUGAUUUAUGGAUGUACCAAGUGAAACAGGACAAUCUUGCCCACUUUCCUGUUUGUCAGAGCAUCUCAGCCGCAUUUCCUGGUAUUUUUCCAUGUACUCAGCUAGCUACCAAACUGAGCCGGUAAAUGAAUGAGUUUGAUCGGCGCUUCUCUGACUUUAGAGCACAGCACUCAGGCUUUGCCAUCUUUGCCAAUCCUUUCACCACCAACGUCUGCACUGCACCCCAACAUCUUCAGAUGGAGUUAAUAGAGCUUCAAAGCAAUAGCGGCCUGAGAGCAAAGUUCCAGGAUGCUGCAAUCCAGGACUUUUACCGUGAAUUGCCCCCUGGUUUGAUGCCACAGCUUCGACUUCAUGCUGCCCGUGUUCUGUCUAUGUCUGGGAGCACCUAUCUGUCUAUCAUGAAUCUAAACAAGACCAAGCACAGAUCACGCAUCACUGAUGACAACCUCCAUGCCGUUCUACGGAUUGCCUCAGCACAAGACCUAAAACCAGACAUUGACACACUGGCCAUGGAAAAAAGGUGUCAGGUAUCUUGUCAGAAAACACAUAGAACAUGAUCAAUGGAUGAGAAUGGUGGAGAGGGGAUUCAUGUGGUGUGUUAAAGGACAGGCAGCAUCUCCUCAUCAACUUCACCUUAAAACUUGACCAAUACAGUUGUGAACUGAGACAACCCUUGUGUUGUUAUUUUGAGUUUAUUACAUAUACUACGUUAUAUGUGUAGCAAUGUAUUUAGUGUUUACAGGUUUAUGUGUUCAUGCAGACAAAUGUUCACUGUAAUCAAACCAUCUCUUAUUAAUUGGCUGUAUCCCCUUGCAAGGCUGUGUGCAGCCAUUUGUUUGUGUAAAAUGCUACACCUGUCAUACAUGUUCUUAGCAGCUCACAAUUGUUGGUUGGACAGUUAUUCUGCCCCUCUCAACUAUGACAAAAAAGUUUUGAACAAAGUUAAUGUCAUAACUUGUUAUUUAUCCUUAUUCACUUGGAUAGUUUGAUCAUUGAUUGAUGGAGUAAUGUGGGGUUCAUAAGUUGACAAAUUAAAAGGAUUUAUGUUAUAACACAGCAAUAAGCAAACAUUUCUUUUUACAUUUAUGCAAAUAUAUAUGUAAUAUAUAUAUAAAUCAGAUAAACAACGAACAUCACGUAACGGUACCGCCAUACACCAAAAACGUGUCAGUACGCGCAAAUCCGGAUAAGCGGGAGACGACGAAGAUGAAGACGAAGAUUGCUUCAGCAAGCCAAGCCUUCCAAACUGAAUCACACACAGGUGUGUAUAAGGAUUUUUUUUCGUUCUCCUUUUCGACAAAUUCUUUUGUCUAGAAGAUUUUGAGGGGUUUGUGUCGUUUGGCCAACACCAAUUCCUUCCAACUUAUCUGGCAAAGUAAAUUAAAUACUAGCGCUUAUCCCGUCGUCAACCUCCGGCCCUCCGGCUACACGAUUUACCAUGACCGGCUGACCAAAUCUCAAGAGUGCCUACGGAAGAAAGUCUGCUGGCAGACUGUGCCGACGCUGACCCACCGAGACAUCGGCAGAGCCCGUCACCCCUGGCAACGGUCGUCAUCUCUGAGAGAGCCCACUUGGAGCGUGGCGUCCCUGUUGUCUGGCAACAUUACUCCGGGGCUCCAGCCAAGAUCUCAACAGCGCACCGCAACUCAAAGUAGGCAACUCCAUCCUUUGCUCUGAACUGGGUUGAUGUCGGAAUAAUACUAGUUCCGACCUAAUAAUUUCCUACCGUUAAGAAUAAAUACUAUACACAUAGUCAAAUUCAUUCUCUUCCCCCAUCGCCCAAAAUUACUGCUUAGCUGGUAGAAAUAGGGAUUGUUAGUCAUAGAUUCAUGUUCAUUAUCAUUUUUCAUUGUACUCCUCCUGUGUUUAGUUAGUCAAUAAAUAUUAUCAAUGUGACCCAGUGUUUCUUUUUUUGGGGGGCUUUUUUAUGCCUUUAUUUGAUAGUACAGUAGAGAGAAAGGAAAUGGGGAGGCUGAGAGAGGGGAAUGACAUGCAGCAAAGGCCACCCGAUGUCAAACUCGAACUUGGACAGGACCCAAAUGCAUGACUCAAAAAGUUCAACAAAAUGAUAUUUAUUAACAAAGUACAAAAGAAAAUCACUCUUAAGAGGAAACAACAAAGUAACAAACAAUAACGUGACUAAGCACAAAGUAUCAAAGUAACAAACUAGAGACAAAAAGAAAAUCACUCUGAGAGGAAAAAAGGCAAACGCCAGAAAACCAAAAAUCACUCUUAUGAGGAAAAAACUAAACCAAGCAACAAGGAACAAGACCAGAGGGAACAAUGACAUGAAGCGUGGGGCCGGGAGAUUCACGGAUAUGGAACAAGACGAACUGGCACAGGACAAAGGGAAACGCAGACAGAUAUACAUGAGGUAAUGGGGAACAGGUGGAAACAAUCAGGGCGGGGAAGACAAUCAGACCAACGGGAGACACCAGGAGGAAGGGCAAGUUACCUGAAACGAAAGGAGAGUCAAAUGUCAAAAUAAAACAGGAAGUGAUGACAACAUAGACACAAGACAGAAAACUAAACACAACCAGACACAGAUCAUGACACCUGAUGCAGGACUCAAACCGGGGCCAACUGCAGCGAGGACUGUAGCCUCUACACAUGGGACGCCUGCUUAGACCACUACGCCACAUGACGCCCUUGCCCUUUUUUUUCCUUGAAGUCAAGAUCGGAGAUCACUGUAAUUGAGAAAUCACAACUUUGGAUGUGAGACUGAUCAAAAAUGAAUCAUUGUCAAUCAAAUUGUCCUCCCUGAUGACUAGUGCCCCUUUCUUUAACGAGAGCAAAUUUUAAAUUGUCAUAUUCACGCUACACAUAUCUCAUGCCUAGUGUCAAUGAGCUAAUUGAAAGACUUUGCAAUGCCCGUUUCAUAACCACCCUUGAUCUCACAAAGUGGUAUUGGCAGGUUCCCUUGUCUGCAGCAGCAAAGGAGAAGACAGCCUUUGCCACUCCCGGGGCCUGUGGCAGUACUUAGUGAUGUCCUUUGGGCUGUCUGGAGCUCCCGCCACCUUCCAGCACUUGAUGGAUGAGGUACUUAA